UAGCGUAUAUUAAAGUUGUUGCGGUAAAAAAGCUCGUAGUUGGAUUUCUGUUGAGGACGGUCGGUCUACACCAUGUGUAGUAUCAGGCUCGGCCUCGGCAUCCUCUCGAAAACUGUUUUUGUGCUUGAUUGCAUGAAGCAGGUCUCGGGACUUUUACUUUGAGGAAAUUAGAGUGUUCACGGCAGGCUAUCGCCAGAAUACAUUAGCAUGGAAUAAUACUAUAGGAUCUCGGUUCUAUUUUGUUGGUUUCUAGGAUUGAGAUAAUGAUUAAUAGGGACAAUUGGGGGCAUUCGUAUCAACACGUC
This 305-nucleotide ribosomal RNA is filed under the name Amoebophrya sp. Its description in RNAcentral is "SSU rRNA". It matches the Rfam family "Eukaryotic small subunit ribosomal RNA", at positions 595 to 906 of the family's 1831-position model. Lineage: Eukaryota; Dinophyceae; Syndiniales; Amoebophryaceae. The record is from RNAcentral.